UGAGCCGGUCGGGCGGCCGCGGGCGCGAGAGCACCUGAGGAACGUCCGGGCACCACAGGGCAGGAUGAUGGCUAACGGCCACCCGGGGUGACCCGCGGGCUAGUGCCACAGAAAAGAAACCGCCGCCUUCGGGCGGUAAGGGUGAAAAGGUGGGGUAAGAGCCCACCAGCAACGCAGGUGACUGCGUUGGCUCGGUAAACCCCAUUCGGUGCAAGACCAAGCAGCAAGCAGGGCGGCCCGUUCAAUGCUUGCGGGUAGGUUGCGUGAGGUCUGCGGUAACGCAGAUCCAAGAUAGAUGGUCGCCACCGCAGACGCGGUAACGCACUGCGAGACAGAACCCGGCGUACAGACCGACUCAUCCG
This 362-nucleotide RNase P RNA is filed under the name Schaalia zhouxuedongae. RNAcentral describes it as "Schaalia sp. ZJ405 Bacterial RNase P class A". It matches the Rfam family "Bacterial RNase P class A". Rfam says of the family: Ribonuclease P (RNase P) is a ubiquitous endoribonuclease, found in archaea, bacteria and eukarya as well as chloroplasts and mitochondria. The record is from Rfam by way of RNAcentral. Lineage: Bacteria; Bacillati; Actinomycetota; Actinomycetes; Actinomycetales; Actinomycetaceae.